AUUGAACGCUGGCGGCAUGCCUUACACAUGCAAGUCGAACGGCAGCACGGGAGCAAUCCUGGUGGCGAGUGGCGAACGGGUGAGUAAUAUAUCGGAACGUGCCCAGUCGUGGGGAUAACGUAGCGAAAGCUACGCUAAUACCGCAUACGAUCUAUGGAUGAAAGCGGGGGAUCGCAAGACCUCGCGCGAUUGGAGCGGCCGAUAUCAGAUUAGGUAGUUGGUGAGGUAAAGGCUCACCAAGCCGACGAUCUGUAGCUGGUCUGAGAGGACGACUAGCCACACUGGGACUGAGACACGGCCCAGACUCCUACGGGAGGCAGCAGUGGGGAAUUUUGGACAAUGGGCGCAAGCCUGAUCCAGCAAUGCCGCGUGCAGG
RNAcentral lists this ribosomal RNA (376 nucleotides) under uncultured bacterium. RNAcentral's name for it is "bacterial SSU rRNA". It matches the Rfam family "Bacterial small subunit ribosomal RNA", at positions 30 to 407 of the family's 1533-position model. The record is from RNAcentral.